AUGUCAAAAAAACUAUCAGCACUCGAAGAGUCAGUUGAGAAAAAACCGAAGUCACUUUUGGGAAAAGUUCUAAUGAAGAGAAAAAAUCCUAAAAGCGCUGGAAAAGGAACGGUGAAAGAUCCCCUGUCCACUCUUCAGAACACAAGACAAAAAAGAACUCUGAAGGAGAAUUUAAAAGCUUUUGCUAAAAAGUUAAAGUUUACAAAGUCCGGACAUCAAGAUAUAGCAAAAAUCCUUGAAGAGGAAAGUGAUGGUACGCUAAGUGCUGGCCAGUCCCAGAAAGCGUCCGAUUCAGAUACAUCUAGCAAACAGUCAACUCGAUCAAAACAAAAAGAUGACACGGUCCCAGUCUCGAAAUCUAGGAAAAUGUCUCUGUCACUAUCUGCUGGGACUUCAGGUGCACCCUCUAUGUUGGAGCAGACCUCAUCGGAAAAGAAAACUUCUGGUGUCACCCUUGCACAAUUUGAGUCAGGAAGCAAUUCGUCAAGCAGCGGCUCUGUCAAGAAUAAGAGAACGGAAGAUGAUGCGGAAAGUGUCUCCGUUGCGGCCUUGUCAUCAUCAUCUCAAAGUGUGUCUUCUACAUCCGAGUCUGCCAAGAAAAAAAUUGGAAAGAAGAAGAAAGAAGAAGAAAAAACAGGGACCACCAGUGCCAAAGAUGACCUCAAAGUAGCACCAGCUUUUAAAACUGUGUCGAUUGGGGAUAAGUUGAAAGUCUACUACGGACCCUCCACCCAAGAUUCGAAGAAAGUCACGUACGAAGCAAAAGUGUUGAAUAUAAAGAAAACCGCAAUGCUUCUCCAGAUGAGCCAUCAAAAUUAUAUUGGUACAUUAUACUGGUUGGAAUACGCGUUACGAUGA
Molecule: long non-coding RNA, 858 nt
Filed under: Bemisia tabaci
Lineage: Eukaryota; Metazoa; Arthropoda; Insecta; Hemiptera; Aleyrodidae
Description: lncRNA ENSSSA2NGG010333
Source: RNAcentral